This 440-nucleotide ribosomal RNA is filed under the name uncultured bacterium. Its description in RNAcentral is "partial 16S ribosomal RNA". It matches the Rfam family "Bacterial small subunit ribosomal RNA", at positions 338 to 795 of the family's 1533-position model. The record is from RNAcentral.
CCUACGGGAGGCAGCAGUGGGGAAUAUUGCACAAUGGGGGAAACCCUGACGCAGCGACGCCGCGUGAGUGAAGAAGUAUUUCGGUACGUAAAGCUCUAUCAGCAGGGAAGAAAAUGACGGUACCUGACUAAGAAGCCCCGGCUAACUACGUGCCAGCAGCCGCGGUAAUACGUAGGGGGCAAGCGUUAUCCGGAUUUACUGGGUGUAAAGGGAGCGUAGACGGCAGCGCAAGUCUGGAGUGAAAUCCCAUGGCUUAACCAUGGAACUGCUUUGGAAACUGUGCAGCUAGAGUGCAGGAGAGGUAAGCGGAAUUCCUAGUGUAGCGGUGAAAUGCGUAGAUAUUAGGAGGAACACCAGUGGCGAAGGCGGCUUACUGGACUGUAACUGACGUUGAGGCUCGAAAGCGUGGGGAGCAAACAGGAUUAGAUACCCCUGUAGUC